RNAcentral lists this ribosomal RNA (742 nucleotides) under uncultured bacterium. Its description in RNAcentral is "bacterial SSU rRNA". It matches the Rfam family "Bacterial small subunit ribosomal RNA", at positions 8 to 796 of the family's 1533-position model. The record is from RNAcentral.
AGAGUUUGAUCAUGGCUCAGAACGAACGCUGGCGGCAUGCCUAACACAUGCAAGUCGAACGAGGGCUUCGGCCCUAGUGGCGCACGGGUGAGUAACGCGUGGGAACCUGCCCUGUGGUACGGAAUAACUCCGGGAAACUGGAGCUAAUACCGUAUGCGUCCUGUGGGACAAAGAUUUAUCGCCAUGGGAUGGGCCCGCGUAGGAUUAGCUUGUUGGUGGGGUAACGGCCUACCAAGGCUUCGAUCCUUAGCUGGUCUGAGAGGAUGAUCAGCCACACUGGGACUGAGACACGGCCCAGACUCCUACGGGAGGCAGCAGUGGGGAAUAUUGGACAAUGGGCGCAAGCCUGAUCCAGCAAUGCCGCGUGAGUGAUGAAGGCCUUCGGGUUGUAAAGCUCUUUCGCACGCGACGAUGAUGACGGUAGCGUGAGAAGAAGCCCCGGCUAACUUCGUGCCAGCAGCCGCGGUAAUACGAAGGGGGCUAGCGUUGUUCGGAAUUACUGGGCGUAAAGGGCGCGUAGGCGGUACUUCAAGUCAGGCGUGAAAGCCCCGGGCUCAACCUGGGAACCGCGCUUGAGACUGGAGAACUAGAGUUCGGGAGAGGAUGGUGGAAUUCCCAGUGUAGAGGUGAAAUUCGUAGAUAUUGGGAAGAACACCGAUGGCGAAGGCAGCCAUCUGGACCGACACUGACGCUGAGGCGCGAAAGCGUGGGGAGCAAACAGGAUUAGAUACCCUAGUAGUCC